GGUGUGUUCAGGUGUGUCCCAGGUGUGUUUGGGUGUGUCUCAGGUGUGUUUGGGUGUGUCCCACACUCACCUUGCAGGUGUCCCCGCCCCCGCCCAGGUGUCCGGCACACACCAUGGCCCAUCCCAGCUGUACCCAGCUGUACCCAGGUGUACCCAGGUGUGUUUGGGUGUGUCCCAGGUGUAUCAGUCUCACCUUGCAGGUGUCCCCGCCCCCGCCCAGGUGUCCGGCACACACCAUGGCCCAUCCCAGCUGUACCCAGGUGUAUCCCAGG
Non-coding RNA from Zonotrichia albicollis (white-throated sparrow), 272 nucleotides. The record is from RefSeq and is a predicted model, not a curated record. NCBI's taxonomy places the organism in Eukaryota, Metazoa, Chordata, Aves, Passeriformes, Passerellidae.